AUGCUAUAGCUUCGACAGCACAUAUACUAAAAUUGGAACGAUACAGAGAAAAUUAGCAUGGUCCCUGCGCAAGGAAGACAUGCAAAUUCGGGAAGCGUUCUAUAUUUUU
Molecule: small nuclear RNA, 109 nt
Organism: Chiloscyllium plagiosum (whitespotted bambooshark)
Lineage: Eukaryota; Metazoa; Chordata; Chondrichthyes; Orectolobiformes; Hemiscylliidae
Source: RefSeq, a predicted model, not a curated record